GUUUGACUGGGGCGGUCGCCUCCUAAAAGGUAACGGAGGCGCUCAAAGGUUCCCUCAGAAUGGUUGGAAAUCAUUCAUAGAGUGUAAAGGCAUAAGGGAGCUUGACUGCGAGACCUACAAGUCGAGCAGGGUCGAAAGACGGACUUAGUGAUCCGGUGGUUCCGCAUGGAAGGGCCAUCGCUCAACGGAUAAAAGCUACCCCGGGGAUAACAGGCUUAUCUCCCCCAAGAGUUCACAUCGACGGGGAGGUUUGGCACCUCGAUGUCGGCUCAUCGCAUCCUGGGGCUGUAGUCGGUCCCAAGGGUUGGGCUGUUCGCCCAUUAAAGCGGUACGCGAGCUGGGUUCAGAACGUCGUGAGACAGUUCGGUCCCUAUCCGUCGUGGGCGUAGGAAAUUUGAGAGGAGCUGUCCUUAGUACGAGAGGACCGGGAUGGACAUACCUCUGGUGUACCAGUUGUCGUGCCAACGGCAUAGCUGGGUAGCUAUGUGUGGACGGGAUAAGUGCUGAAAGCAUCUAAGCAUGAAGCCCCCCUCAAGAUGAGAUUUCCCAACUUCGGUUAUAAGAUCCCUCAAAGAUGAUGAGGUUAAUAGGUUCGAGGUGGAAGCAUGGUGACAUGUGGAGCUGACGAAUACUAA
This 635-nucleotide ribosomal RNA is filed under the name Staphylococcus aureus. RNAcentral describes it as "partial 23S ribosomal RNA". It matches the Rfam family "Bacterial large subunit ribosomal RNA", at positions 2268 to 2904 of the family's 2925-position model. The record is from RNAcentral. Lineage: Bacteria; Bacillati; Bacillota; Bacilli; Caryophanales; Staphylococcaceae.